Long non-coding RNA from Triticum aestivum (bread wheat), 817 nucleotides. RefSeq lists it as uncharacterized. The transcript has 2 exons. NCBI's taxonomy places the organism in Eukaryota, Viridiplantae, Streptophyta, Magnoliopsida, Poales, Poaceae. The record is from RefSeq and is a predicted model, not a curated record.
CCAGCCAGUGGAUCGUCGCGCCCUCUGCCCCAACGACGCAUCGAUGGCACUGGCGCCACGACCACUGGCCACCAUAGUUUUCGUCUGCCAGAUGAUGGCGGUCGUUCUGCAGGCCACGACCUUGACUUGCGUUGUGCUCGCAGGCGACCUCUGGUUCUAGACGUUCCUAUUCCUCAAGGCUCUCCUGGCGGCGGAGCUGGCCUUGAACACGGCACGACUGAUCUACGAAGCGGCGCAGGUCUUCUUCCAGAAACUGUUGUCGGCCUUCCGCUGGCAGAUGAUGGGGCUCGUCGCCGCUGACUAGGUACCGUACAGUAGUAUUCUCUUUCAUGCUCGCUGGCUCGCACAAACAUAUAUGUCGUCCUACGUGUGCGUGCAUGCAUGGAUUGCAAGUGAUGAUGCUCCUCCUUUUCACUAUUGGGUCGAGCUCCCUCGCCGUGGAGGACUUCAUCGAGAACAACAUGAGGCAUUGCGCGUGGCUGAAGCCCGAGACGUGCGAGCGGUACAAGGCCUCCGGCGUACUUACCUUGCUGGCGUGGGCUUUCACUGCCCUGGUCGCCUGUGUUAUGCUUCGUCAGCAAAGGAUCUGGGAUGAAGACGCCGCCACCGCUGAUGCAUGAUGGGCAGUCAACUUCUACCUAAGCAUGAGAGAUUUAUUUGAUACUAGUAGUAGUAAUAAAUAGUUUAGUUUGGCUACUAUCGCUAUGACGUCGCCAUGUGUACGUACGGUAGACGUACUACCCUCCCUAUGAUUUUUAGUAAAAGUGUAUAUUAUUCCCGUAUAUGAUGCUUAAGUUUGGUUGCGGCUCACUUUGAA